CAUUACGUCUUUCUAGCUUUAACAGUGGCGUCUCUACUAUUUAGAACUAUACGUAGAUUAUUACAAAAAUGCGUAUAUUUUGUUAUUAGAUAGCGUUUUCGAUUGUGAAAUUAGAAUUACACACACAUUCGAAACCGCUAUAAAUGUUUUAAAAAUUGUGGAUGUUAUGGCUAAUAUCUGUACCAAUAAAACAGCUAUUAUAGGUAGUUAAUACCUGAAAUUUGAAUAUCAAAAUUGCUAUCGCUAUUUUUCAAAAUUAAUAGGAAAAUAUAAAUAAAAUAAAAUCCAGAUUUUCAAUAUUUCAUUGUUACCGCCAGCCAUACGCGCAGACGCGAGCAAAAGGUAUAUUCUAACCUCAAAUUUUGUCAAAAAAUAAAUAAUGAAGUGAUCUCAAACAUUUAGCCGAGUAUCCGUACUUAAACAGUUAAUACAUUAUUUGUAGAAUAUCAAUCAAAUUUACAUCAAUAACUUUAAGAUUGGCGGCGUACAUAAAAGGUACCAUCACCAUUUUUACAAUUACUUCAGACCAGAGCUUCAGACUUUAGCUAUUGUGUAAUUCUUCCCCUAAUGUUGAAAGAAAACUGUUUUUACGAUCUACAUGGUAUAUUUGAGCUCUAGUUAUUAUUAGCAGGUUUUAGAUAUUAACCGUAACAUAUAUUAUAGCUUUACUGUAAAUACUGAGCGUAGACAGCGAAGCAUUUCACUCUAGAAUUUGGAAAAUCAAUCAAAAGUGUGCAAUCAAAUUUGUUCUGAUAAGUUUGAUAAGAGCGAUAUUAUGAUCACCGAAUAAACUGGUUGAAGGCAAAUAAGACCAAAUGCUGAGCCUCAAAUAGAUACUACCAUUUUUGCUGGGGCCUUAUCAUGCAGCAUAGUAAGAUAAUUCUCAUUUUCUGAUCUUUCAAUAGUUGGAUAUUUAUUGGCUCAAGAAGUCCUAUCAGAAAAAGAAAGAAGUAUGUUAAUGAGGUAUAAUAAUGAUAUUAUGUAGAAAUUUAAGUCUCAUAAAAAUUUGGGAACAAAGAAAAUGAAAAAUAUAUACUUUACAAAUGGGUCUAAGAAGAUUGAAAAAUAAAAUAACAUCAAUGCAUCAAUUAAUUGAUUACUUAAAAGAAAAAUCUUUGAUAAGUGAAUCAUCUGAAUUGACCAUAAGGGUAUAAAUAUAGGUAUGCAGGGUGACAUUUUAAAAACAUAAUGGUUAUUAUGUGAAGAUCCAAAAAAACAAAAAUCGCUAAAAGCAAUUUCUAAUUGACCCUGUAUCUCUUACCUUUCUGAGAUUUCAAUGCUUAUAAUUGUUAUCUUGGACGCACUAUAUAUGUAUAUAUCUGAGUGGCGGAGGGGAACUCUAAUAAUGUAAAGUUAUCAGCCAUUUAUUACUUUAGUCCUAAAGCCAUUAUGCCAAAAUCUGCCAAGAUUCAUUAACAAGUUUUAAAGUUGGUUCUGGUUUAAUUUUGUGAAUGAUAUACUAAUCCAUAUGACAGUGGCAUAAAUACGAUUAAUGGAAGGUUCUAAUUUCCAUGACAAGGCCAGGUCUAAAUUUUAAAACCCUUUAGUGAAUUUGGAUGUGUCUAAAAAAGACUAAUAAUAAUAUUAUAGAGGUAUAAUAUUAACAGAGAUAAUAUAUGUUUUUUUAGGCUUCCCUAGCUGGGCCAGCACAAAGUAUUUUUGAAAGAAUGUUAAAAGGACCUGCCACACAAAAAUCCAAUCCUCUGCUACUAUCCUUUGCUUUAACAUUGUAAUUUUAUUCACCGAAAACAUAGAAUUUUAUAAAGGAUACAUAAACUGGCCCAAUAUUUUUGAUAUUUUUAACUCUCAGAAUGGAUUUACAAAAUAUUCAUAUAAAAAAUUAUCAAAAUAUAAGAACAACAUACUUUUUAGUAAUUUUGAAAUAAUUUAAUUGUAUAUUAUUGGACUUACUUUAAAAGAAAGGCCAA
Molecule: long non-coding RNA, 1928 nt
Organism: Sitophilus oryzae (rice weevil)
Lineage: Eukaryota; Metazoa; Arthropoda; Insecta; Coleoptera; Curculionidae
Exons: 4
Source: RefSeq, a predicted model, not a curated record